AUUUGGUAAAGUAAGAAUUAUAAAUUAUUUUCCUAUAAGUUGGUAGAUUAAAUCGAUAUUUUUUUAAUUUCAUAAUCGAUUAUUAAGUAGUCUUUCCCAAAUUGCCAAGUCAUCACCCUAAGCUCAUUCCACUUUUUGGUAGAAUUUAGUUUGAUCGAUUCUCCUCGUCUUUAGGUUAAUAAAGACGUUCAAGGGUGAGUUGGUUUAAGAGGGUUACAUUUUUUACGCUGUUGUAGUUGGGUUACGUAUUACGUUUCAUGUUUUGUUUUAUUUCUGAAUUAAAUUAUAUGAUUGGUAGUUAUUUUAUGUGAUAUACGAUUGCUAGUUAUUUUUAUGUUAUUGGUAGUUAUUUUAUUUUACUACUUAUAUGUUGCAAAUUGAUGUGACUUUAAGUUAUGAUAAGGCUAGACUAAUUAUACUUUUAGAUGAUGAUAAGUUUAGAUACGACGAGUAGUAGUGACAAGAACACCUCACCUAGAUGAAUAAUAGGGGGAUUACAAUACGAAUUCACUGCCUAGACUAUCGCCCACACGACUCGAGAAGCAGUUUCCCUUAAGAAUUAUGAAUUGGGCCGGUAAUGCCUUUGUGAAUAAUGAAUCGGGCCCUUAUGAUUUAUUGUCUGAUGGAUACGUACUUCGGGUCAUUCGUGAAUCUUACAAAUGGGUGGUAGGGCUAGCUAGUUGAGUUAGGGUACGUCCCAUAAGAAAUAAGAUACCUUGGAUAAGGUUACAAAUAAGUAUAAGAAUUAACGUUAUGAUUACAAUAACGAUCAUAUGGAUCAUAUGAUUCAUAAUGAACCUAACUUGAUUGAGUUGUGUUUCAACUUACGUUGAUGAUUACUUGUUACGUGUUCUAAUUAAGAUUUGUAUCAAUGUCAGGGUUACAUAAAAAUGAUUCCUUUAUGUGAUAUGUCUAUUUAGGUAAUAUUGAUAAUUUUUAUGAAAUAAUAUGAUCUAUAUUCCAAUGUUUAUUUCGAAUUCUUUCUAUGAUAUGAAAACGAUAGACUAACCAACCCCGAACCACCUACCAAAGUGUUGAAAGUUGUUGCAGAAGAAAAGUGCAGUUGAUUCGAGAUGUGAAGUGGUGGACUUUUGGAUUUGAGAUUUUUUUAUUUAUUUAAGAUUACAGGCCAUUUGAUUUUAUUGAUUAUGAUAUUUACUCAUUGUUCUAAAUUAUUGAUUACGAACAUGAAGUUAAUUUUAAUUAAAUAUCUCUAUUUUAUUUUAAUUUUAUUUGUUUUAAAGUUAGUAAUUAUUUAAACUUAUCGUUAAAGACCAUAAUGCCCUUAUAUUUUAAGCAUUUUUUCUGCUUUAAGGGUGUUUUAGUCAAAUCCCCUAUUUAAAAAAUGAGGGUGUUACACCCCUCAUUCCAUCUUUCAUCAUCAUAUUGGGUGGGAUUUUUCUUUCAAUUUCCCCCUCUUCAAGAACCCUAGAAGAUACAAUUGAGGAUCAAAUUGAAGGUUAAGGAGUUAGGAGCAUUGGAGUGAAGAAUAGAAGAUCGAAGACAAGGUCGAAGCAAGUACAUCCCAACUUGACCAUUAGGUUUUGGAUUGUUUUCACUUUUUCUUCUCUUCUCAUUGGAUGAUCAUGUGUAUCUAGUUCUUUGUUAUUAUUUGGAUAAGAUGUACGUUAUUGCUAUGAUUAUUACAUAAAAGUAAAGGGUUGGGCAUGUGGAUGCCAUGACUGAAUGAA
This 1691-nucleotide long non-coding RNA is filed under the name Linum usitatissimum (flax). RNAcentral describes it as "long non-coding RNA (LUSI_LNC005756)". Lineage: Eukaryota; Viridiplantae; Streptophyta; Magnoliopsida; Malpighiales; Linaceae. The record is from RNAcentral.